RNAcentral lists this ribosomal RNA (250 nucleotides) under uncultured bacterium. RNAcentral describes it as "partial 16S ribosomal RNA". It matches the Rfam family "Bacterial small subunit ribosomal RNA", at positions 28 to 280 of the family's 1533-position model. The record is from RNAcentral.
GAUGAACGCUAGCGGGAGGCCUAACACAUGCAAGCCGAGCGGUAUUGUUUCUUCGGAAAUGAGAGAGCGGCGUACGGGUGCGGAACACGUGUGCAACCUGCCUUUAUCUGGGGGAUAGCCUUUCGAAAGGAAGAUUAAUACUCCAUAAUAUAUUGAACGGCAUCGUUUAAUAUUGAAAGCUCCGGCGGAUAGAGAUGGGCACGCGCAAGAUUAGCUAGUUGGUGAGGUAACGGCUCACCAAGGCGAUGAU